UACGAAGGGGGCUAGCGUUGCUCGGAAUUACUGGGCGUAAAGGGCGCGCAGGCGGACAGUUUAGUCAGAGGUGAAAGCCCAGGGCUCAACCUUGGAAUUGCCUUUGAUACUGGCUGUCUUGAGUUCGGGAGAGGUGAGUGGAAUGCCGAGUGUAGAGGUGAAAUUCGUAGAUAUUCGGCGGAACACCAGUGGCGAAGGCGACUCACUGGCCCGAUACUGACGCUGAGGCGCGAAAGCGUGGGGAGCAAACAGG
This 253-nucleotide ribosomal RNA is filed under the name uncultured bacterium. Its description in RNAcentral is "partial 16S ribosomal RNA". It matches the Rfam family "Bacterial small subunit ribosomal RNA", at positions 524 to 776 of the family's 1533-position model. The record is from RNAcentral.